UUGGAACAGGGCGUCAUAGAGGGUGAGAAUCCCGUAUGUGGCCAGAGGUCAAUUUCAUGUCAAAUCCCUUCGACGAGUCGAGUUGUUUGGGAAUGCAGCUCAAAAUGGGUGGUAAAUUUCAUCUAAAGCUAAAUACUGGCCAGAGACCGAUAGCGCACAAGUAGAGUGAUCGAAAGAUGAAAAGCACUUUGGAAAGAGAGUUAAACAGUACGUGAAAUUGUUGAAAGGGAAGCGCUUGCCAUUAGACCGAUUCCCCGGUUGCAGUCGGAGGCAACUCUGGACGUAAAGCACCGGGAUUUCGGCCAGCAUCAGUUUGGGUGGUUUGACAAAGACGCACAGAACGUGGCUCCUCGGAGUGUUAUAGCUGUGCGUGUAAUGAAAUCUACCUGGACUGAGGACCGCGCUUCGGCUAGGAUGCUGGCGUAAUGAUGGCAAGCGACCCGUCUUGAAACACGGACCAAGGAGUCGAUCAUCUAUGCGAGUGUUUGGGCGUCAAACCCAUACGCGGAAUGAAAGUGAACGGAGGUGAGAACCGAUAAGGUGCAUCAUCGACCGAUCCUGAUGUCUUCGGAUGGAUUUGAGUAGGAGCAUGGCCGAUCGGACCCGAAAGAUGGUGAACUAUGCGUGAAUAGGGUGAAGCCAGAGGAAACUCUGGUGGAGGCUCGCAGCGGUUCUGACGUGCAAAUCGAUCGUCAAAUUUGCGCAUAGGG
RNAcentral lists this ribosomal RNA (710 nucleotides) under Ainoa geochroa. Its description in RNAcentral is "eukaryotic LSU rRNA". It matches the Rfam family "Eukaryotic large subunit ribosomal RNA", at positions 190 to 922 of the family's 3401-position model. The record is from RNAcentral. Lineage: Eukaryota; Fungi; Ascomycota; Lecanoromycetes; Baeomycetales; Baeomycetaceae.